GACGAACGCUGGCGGCGCGCCUAACACAUGCAAGUCGAACGGAGCUUAGAGAGCUUGCUUUUUAAGCUUAGUGGCGAACGGGUGAGUAACGCGUGAGUAACCUGCCCUAGAGUGGGGGACAACAGUUGGAAACGACUGCUAAUACCGCAUAAGCCCACGGUACCGCAUGGUACUGAGGGAAAAGGAUUUAUUCGCUUUAGGAUGGACUCGCGUCCAAUUAGCUAGUUGGUGAGGUAACGGCCCACCAAGGCGACGAUUGGUAGCCGGACUGAGAGGUUGAACGGCCACAUUGGGACUGAGACACGGCCCAGACUCCUACGGGAGGCAGCAGUGGGGGAUAUUGCACAAUGGGGGAAACCCUGAUGCAGCGGCGCCACGUGGAGGAAGAAGGUUUUCGGAUUGUAAACUCCUGUCGUUAGGGACGAUAAUGA
Molecule: ribosomal RNA, 431 nt
Filed under: uncultured bacterium
Lineage: Bacteria
Description: bacterial SSU rRNA
Rfam family: Bacterial small subunit ribosomal RNA
Source: RNAcentral